CGCUAGUGUCAUCUACAGUGUAAAUGUGUGUUUGCAAAAUUAUAUUAAAAUUAUAAAUUUUCUCGGCCAUUAGUUAUUCUAUGUACGUGGAAUUAGUCUGGGCUUUAUUAACGUUCAAUUUUUUUUUAUCAUUCAUCUAUUUUUUCGUCAAAGUUAAAUAAGAGAUCAAUUGUUCCUUUGACAAUCGUUUGGUGUUCUCAUCGACGUUUUGAAGCUUUCCCUUAACAUUGGAAGUGUUGAAUCAUAUUUGGAAAUAUGGCUGCUGCUGCUGCUGCUGCGUUACUCGACGAGCUUAUGGGAAGAAACAGAAAUGUUCUUCCUAACGAAAAACCUAAAGAACUUAAUUGGGAGGAUCCUGAGUUUUGCAAAUUAUAUUUGGUUAAAUUCUGUCCUCACGAUUUAUUCGUUAACACACGAGCUGAUCUUGGAGCUUGUUCUCGAGUUCACGAUGAUGAAGCUAGAGACCUUUUUGAGAAAGCGCCAUAUUCCUAUCGUAAACAACAAUAUGAAGAUGAAUUUAUUAGAUUUUGUCAAAGUAUGCUCAACGAGGUUGAAAGGAAAAUUGUAAAAGGCAAACAACGUCUUGCUCUUAUCGGAAGAACUGAAGCACCUACUCUGACUCCUGCACAAACUCAAAGAAAUGAAGAACAAAUAGCUCUGCUAACGGAGAAGAUUAACAAAUUAGUCGAAGAAGCUGAACAAAGUGGGAUUCAAGGAAAUGUUGAACAAGCUCAAGGCCUAAUGAGACUUUGUGACCAAUUAAAAGAAGAACGAGAAGCCCUUAGAAAGUCCAAUGACAAUAGUCAUUAUAAUCAAACCGCUGAAUUAGCUGCUGCUCAAGAAAAACAGAUGGAAGUUUGCGACGUGUGCGGUGCUUUUCUCAUUGUCGGAGAUGCUCAACAACGAAUCGAUGAUCACUUGAUGGGUAAACAACAUGUUGGUUAUGCCAGAUUAAAAAUUGCUCUUCAAGAAAUUAUGAGUAAACGUGAUAAAGCACGAGACGAAAAAGAGCAGAAAAGAGAAGAAGAAAGAAAGCAGAGAGCACGUGCUAAUGAAGAACUCGACAGACGAAGGAGAGAAAGUGACAGAGAUAGAGAUAGAGAAAGAGAUAAACGUCGUAGACGUACAGAUGAUGACAAGGGUAGACAUGACUCUGGGAGUCAUAGAAAUUCUGGACAUAGAAGUAGGAGCAGGUCUAGAGAGAAACAUGAUCGACAUCGCGAUGACGAUAAUCAUCGACGUCAUGCUCGCGAUAAAGGAAAUCGGGAUCAUCGAAGCUCGAGUCAUCAUAAUCGUCGUCGCCAUCGAUCUCGAAGUCGAAGUCACAAGUAACUACUCUUGAUUGGUUCUUUACCAGAAUUUAACAUAAUGAGGUUAACAACAGCUACAAUAAGGGAAUUAUGUUAAUCGUUUGAAAAAUGAAGACAGGACAAUGGAAUUUAACCAGUUCGAAGGAUCCACGUGCACUCCGCUUUAUGUAUUAUUAAGGUAAAGAUUUUGCAUAAUCUUCACAUUGAAAAUUUAUAAAUUUUAUACAUAUAUAUAUGUAUAUAUAUAUAUAUAUGUAUAUAUAUAAUUUUAUUUAUAUUUAUAUAUAUAUAUAGAUAUAGAUAUAUAUUCAAAAAAUGAAUCUUUAAUAAUUGAUACAAAUCGGCCUUUAAUAUGUGUAUGUUAUUUAAUUGCCAUUUUAUUUAAAUCUUAAAAUAAUUGUUAUUUUAUUAUACAUACCUAUUAAAACAAGGUUAACAUGUCCAUAGAUUGCGUUGUAAUACUCGUAAUUAUUGUUAUUUGAAAUUAAUAAAAUGAUCCUGAUGAUAAA
RNAcentral lists this unclassified non-coding RNA (1819 nucleotides) under Polistes fuscatus (common paper wasp). Its description in RNAcentral is "luc7-like protein 3, transcript variant X1". The record is from RNAcentral. Lineage: Eukaryota; Metazoa; Arthropoda; Insecta; Hymenoptera; Vespidae.